This 206-nucleotide small RNA is filed under the name Shigella dysenteriae Sd197. RNAcentral describes it as "Gammaproteobacterial sRNA STnc100". It matches the Rfam family "Gammaproteobacterial sRNA STnc100". The record is from Rfam by way of RNAcentral. Lineage: Bacteria; Pseudomonadati; Pseudomonadota; Gammaproteobacteria; Enterobacterales; Enterobacteriaceae.
CCCGGAUGAGAAUUUGUUAGAAAAAACUGCAUGGUGAAUCCCCCUGAGCGGAGGGGCGACUGGUGACGGUAUAAUCUCUGAUUAUCAAAACGAGAAUGACGCGGGUUUAGUGGCACCGGGCUGAACUCACCGGGAGGCACCCGGCACCAUACAAUGGCACAUCGCGCCACUCUCCAGCCCCUCUCCGGAGGGGCUUUCUUAUGGAC